Molecule: ribosomal RNA, 490 nt
Filed under: uncultured bacterium
Lineage: Bacteria
Description: partial 16S ribosomal RNA
Rfam family: Bacterial small subunit ribosomal RNA
Source: RNAcentral
AUUGAACGCUGGCGGCAGGCCUAACACAUGCAAGUCGAACGGUAACAGGAAGCAGCUUGCUGCUUUGCUGACGAGUGGCGGACGGGUGAGUAAUGUCUGGGAAACUGCCUGAUGGAGGGGGAUAACUACUGGAAACGGUAGCUAAUACCGCAUAACGUCGCAAGACCAAAGAGGGGGACCUUCGGGCCUCUUGCCAUCGGAUGUGCCCAGAUGGGAUUAGCUAGUAGGUGGGGUAACGGCUCACCUAGGCGACGAUCCCUAGCUGGUCUGAGAGGAUGACCAGCCACACUGGAACUGAGACACGGUCCAGACUCCUACGGGAGGCAGCAGUGGGGAAUAUUGCACAAUGGGCGCAAGCCUGAUGCAGCCAUGCCGCGUGUAUGAAGAAGGCCUUCGGGUUGUAAAGUACUUUCAGCGGGGAGGAAGGGAGUAAAGUUAAUACCUUUGCUCAUUGACGUUACCCGCAGAAUAAGCACCGGCUAACUCCGUG